GACUCUCUAGGAGAGUUCAAUUUGUACACGUUACCCUAAAGACCUUUGUGUACGGCAUAUUCUAGGAAUGUAGUAGGUGGGAAAGGGUAUUCAUGGUAUGUAAAAUGACCUCCGAGUCACUAUAAAAGGGGAGCCCUACCCCGUUGUAAAGGGACGGAUAAUUUUUGAACGAGAUUGCAAGUGCUUUUCCUAUUCUAUCUAUUGUGUUCGAGUCUCUUUGAGAUUUGCUUCCCAACAUUGGCGCUCACUAUGUUCUCAGCCAUGAAACUACCCACGAUGCCACCUCAGAAGAAGAAGAAGACCACCGAGGAUGAGAGAGAGC
This 322-nucleotide long non-coding RNA is filed under the name Setaria viridis. RNAcentral's name for it is "long non-coding RNA (SVIR_LNC004001)". Lineage: Eukaryota; Viridiplantae; Streptophyta; Magnoliopsida; Poales; Poaceae. The record is from RNAcentral.